This 251-nucleotide long non-coding RNA is filed under the name Theobroma cacao (cacao). Its description in RNAcentral is "long non-coding RNA (TCAC_LNC004734)". Lineage: Eukaryota; Viridiplantae; Streptophyta; Magnoliopsida; Malvales; Malvaceae. The record is from RNAcentral.
UCAGAGAUUGGAAGAUUUGAGAGAUAAGAUGGGCAAAAGAAAACUGCCCUGUUUUCCAAAUGGGGGAACAAAAUCAUGCUUUGUUAGCGGGGAAACUUGAGACUUGAGAGGUUAGGGAAAUGAGCUAAACAUGUGGGGGAUUUAGGGGUUCAAGUGACCAAAGUGUCAUAUCCAGUGGAUCUUUUUUCUUUUUAUUGACCCUUUUGUUGUUAUAACCCCAAAGAAAAAGAAAAGGGAAAACUGUAUUUCGG